GAAUAAUAUUGUUAAAAUUUAUAUACAAAUUUACUAACUUAGCUUAGUGUCUUGUCAAACUAGUUAAAUGACUGAAAGACUGAAUACAAUAUAGUAUGUGAUGUAAGUAGUGGCUGAGCAAAUGAAUCGUUUUGUUUUGGGAUGAUUAAUGCUUGUCCUGUAAGUCCACAUGCUUCUAUGUGAAACACUUAAAUUUAUUUUAAAUCUUUUCCUUCUGGAAAAUUGGUAGAAAGCUUCCAAUAAAAUUGUCAGCAAUUGACAGUUUUUUCAAUUGCUUGCAAUUUUUCAGACAAAGACUAUCUGAGUGUCUGACCAAAGAAUCCUCAUUGGAUAUUAUUUAUAAAACUUCACUUUUUGAGCACUUUUGAAAAUAUUAAUUCUUGUCUAUUAAUUGUACUUAUAGAAUCAGUAUCGAUUUAGUUUACCACUUGAGCUUUUACAUUUGUUACCUAUGUAAAGAAACGAUGACAUGAAAAUUAAAAAAGAAAAAUUAUUUUCUGGCUUGAAAAUUUCAAAAAUUUAAUUUUUCUGAGACUGUCUUUUAUUGUCAUCUCUUAGAUUUCUUAUUUAUUUACCAAAGGUUCAUUCCAUACAUAUGGUCAGAAAGAUUAGAGUUGGAGUGAUAUAAAAGGCACAUGUGUUGUUAAUUGUUGUCAUUCCUGCAUUUUCUUUUCAUCUGAACUUUUUCUCAUAAAAAUUACCACCACCACUAUUUACAUUCUUAUUUAGAAUAUAGAAGCUAGGAUGAAUUUAUGAAGAAAUAUUUGUUAAUUGUCUUAUAUAUAAAAUUACAUGUGAUUUAUAAUUAUACUCAUCAGUAAUUCCCUAUUCCAAGAGGAAGAGAAAAAUAGUCUGCAAGUUGCUUCUAGUAAUAAAAAUUUAUAGGGCACAGUUAUUGUUUAUUUACUAGUGUAAUAUUAAGUCAGAAUAUAGCUUACUUGGGUUAUAAGUAAGAUGAGCUUGAGAAGAAGAGAAAGGUAUUCAUUUUCUCAUCUUGGUUAAGAUUGAAACGGUUUUAGAGCAAUGAUUGAAAGAAAUCAACCAUGUAAAAAGGAGCUGAUGUACUGGAUACAUUUGCAAAUCAAUUUGAAAUGAAUUUUUGAAACAUUGAAUUGUUGACAAGAACUUUCUGUCUGAAUGGGCGUAAAAAUUUUUCUUAGUUUUUUCCUUGUGUUUUGUGGAGCAGUGUAGGAGUGAUUGAUUACCUGGUUGAUAUAGUGAUUGAGUCAUUUAUCUGUCUGUUAUAAUUCUAAUAUUUCUGGCUUCUUGAGUAACAGGCAAUUAGGCUUUUAAGACAUGAUUUUAGAAAUGAGUUCAUCAAGGUAUAAAAUCUUAUUAUUUAUUUAAUUAUUGCAUAUAAAAUAAUAUGUGUUUGCUCAUUUAAAAAAAUUUUUGCAUUGGUAGCUGGCAGAUCCAUUUCAGAAAUUUUGUAAUCUUACUCAUGAGGUUUGAGACUAUCUGUUGAAGCAGGAUCAUAAAUAUAAAUAUUAAAGAGAAUUGGAUCUUGUAUUCAGUCUAUAAUCAUCACUUGCUUCAUUUACAAUGAUAAUUUAAGUGCCAUUCUUUUGCAUAGUAAGUUAACCCUUGUGAGGAUACUUAUAUGUAUGUAUGCAUGCGCAUAUAUACAACUAGAGAAUCAUUCUCCACACAGGUAAGACUGGCAAACCUAUACAACAUACUACUGGAUACCUACCGGGAAUUGAUACUUAAACAGCUGCACAAGUACUACUGUAUUGUACCAAACUGCUCAGAGAGAUAUUGACCUCAAGACUCAAGAUCUUGUCUUAUAUACUUAGCUUAGAAGAUAGAAAAGAACCUUUCAAACCCCAUAUAAAUAUAAAGUACCAUAAUGAAAAUUUUGCUGCAAACCCUUCCAUUCACCUCCUCUUGUCCCUCAAGCUCUGAUACAGGUAGGAUUAGUAAAGUUAUAUCUGGUAGAAUUCUACCCCACCUUCAUUUUAUGAUUACACUAAACCUCUAGACUAACAACAUUGAAGUCAUCCAAUGGUUUAAAUCCUUAAGCCCCAAUGGUAAAUACAAAUUCAUUCAAGUAGAUAUAGACCAAUAUUAUUCCAGUGUAUCUCCUAUCCUACUUAAAGCCCUCAUAUUUGCACUAAAAUAUCUUCCCCAACUAGAGAUGAUAUCAAUAUUAUCCUGGCAGCCCAUCAAACUAUUAUGAAAUUCAACGGAAAACUUUGGGCCAGCAAAGAUACCUCUAACUACUUCAACAUCCCAAUGGGGGCAAGUGAUUCAGCCCAAGUUACUGACCUCAUGGGUUGUUACCUGCUCCAUUGUCUCCAGGACCAAUUCCGUAAAUAUUUCUGGCAGUUUAUAUAGGGAUGACAUUCUGUUUGCAAUCCCAAACUCUAGUAACUAUAAGGUAGAACAACUUAGGAAAAGAAUCAGAUAUUUCUUUAAAAACGUGGGCCAUGACAUCUUUUUCAGUUCCAAUAUUAAAACUGCUAAUUUCCCAGACGUCACUCUAGAUUUACAAAACAACACCUGUCUAUCAUAAACUCGGGCAGAACCUUGUGUUAACUUUUCUUCAAAUCACUCACUCCCAUUUUCCUAACAUCCAUUGUGGACAGUGUGUUUUAUAGGAUCUCAUCCCUAGCCAAAGAGAUAUUUGAGCAAUAUACUGAAUAUUACAACUGCUCCUUACACUGUGCCAGAGAUAAAAAAAACCCAGUUAGAUACUUCCCUAUAUGGAGUGUUCCUUUGUCUCCUGAACCUGACACUGCAGAUACAUAUGCUCUUUCAGAUAGAAUCUAAGGUAACCCCUGUAUUUCAUCCUCUCCCUAUUCCCCCAAAUUUUACUGUAGUAGCAAACCCAAUUGGCACUCUUUCCCAGACAGGGAUUCUGGAUCCCAAAUCCGCCACUGCCCAUCAAAAUCCAUUCCAGCAUGCACUUCCCUACCCUAAGGCAUACUCAGGUAACCCCCUAGAAUGGGAUGAGUUAUAUUUAUAUUUUCUUAACCCAAUUAUCUCCUUACAUCUUCCUCUCUGCACAUGAGAAUAUGCAGGUGUGCAUGUGUGCCUGCACACAAUGGGGAUACUAUAAGCACUCAGUGAACAUGCACAUGCGCACAGAUAUGCAAAUAUAUAGUUUUACUGUUAAGUAGUAAGCCACCAAUUUAAUUACAACUGCAUGUUCCCCUAAUGGCUAGAAACUUUAUCUCCCAUCUCCCUCUCUUUCUUUCCUCUCCUUUCUUCUCUCCUAGCAAAUUCACUUUACUCCCACUCCUUAAUAUUCAACCUCUUUUCCUUUUCUUCUCAUUCUUGACCAUUUCACUUCUAAAAGUUCUUUUCUUUUAAUUCUGUAUAUGCAUGGAUGCCACAAUAUAUUUCUUUUUCUUUUACAAAAAUGACCCCAGCUUAAUAUUCACAAUGUUCAGUCUAACCUAAAUUCCCCUUUUCUUUAUUCUUAAUAGCUUCAGACAAUUGCUCACUCCCAUGUUUUGACCUCUUCUAUUCUAUUAUGGGCCAUUUUAUUUCUUCAUAUAUGUUUUUCUAUUUUGUCUUUUUUUUUUUACUCCAUUCUUCCAGCUUCACCAUUCAUUUUAAAUUAUAGCAGGUUAACUUAGGAUUCCUUAAUACCCUCCAUCUGAACAGCUAAGUUUCAUAUCUAUUCUGCUAGUAUUUUGAUGGCCUCAAAUAAUGCAAGACAUUGCAUGAGUAUUGAUCCUUGAAAUGGCAUAGUUAUACCAUAUUCAAUUGAUAAUGAAAAAGCAGUUUCCAAAGAUUUACCUAAAACUUGUGUAUGUUACUGCCUAAAUAAUGCUCAGAAAACAUUUUAAUGUCUUAGAUAUUUCUCCUUUUAUAUUUUAUUUAGUCUUUAAGUGUGUAAAUAAACAAAUAUAUUGAGUUUGAUGUGUAUAUUUAUAAGUUUUAUGUUUGUAGGAGUUUUACUUUGCUUUUAUCUUAUGUGCAGAAGUCACAUACAUCAGUUUGAGGGAUGUAGAAUAGUGCCAAAAUGUUAAUAUAUAAUGCAGAUGGUUGUUGUGUUGAAAACUAUAUUUGUUAUUUAGAUAUUCAUCCACUUGUUAUUUAAAACACUCACACCUAAUUGAUUUAGUUGUUAUCACCAGAAAACUGGGAAACAUGUCUGUCCACAGCUGCUGCCUACUACCUUAUGUGCUCUCUCUCCAAAUAUUUUUCAGCAACUCAUCAAUAAUCUUUUCUUCCAUUUUUUUUUUUUUCACAUUACUCUAAAAUGUUGCUUUUAGAGUAAUAUUGCUUUUAAAAAAUUCUUUUGCAAUCUACAUAUGUUUAAAAUAUAUAAAUAAAUGGUUCUUUAUUUGGCAUUGCCUUUUAUUCAUUAUGAAUUAAAGUACUCAAAUAAUAAUGAUAAUAAUAAUAAUAAUAAUGAUAAUGAUAAUUGGCUCAUCAUAUUCUGUGAUAUUGCAAAAGGUGAAGGAGUUAGAGCAAUUUUGACUUAGCACAAACUUAAUAUUGUUUUUAUAGUAAUAUAAUGAUAAAUAAAAUCAAUAUUAAUAAUGAUACUAAAAUCUGACACAAAUAUGGUGUCUUAUACAGAAGGGAGGAAACCUGGAGUUGCCAUAUAUAUGGUUUUCCUAAGAACAUUAGUAAUUUGUGUGUAAUGAUUCCACGUGGUGAUCAAAACUGGGCUGUAAACUUGUUUACUGAAAAGUUACCACCUCACAAUAAUACAAACAAUGAUUACAGAAGCUGUAUCAGUUUUAAUAACAACCAUAAAAGUCACAAUGAUGGUAUUGAAUAUUUUUGCAAAGAUCUUUGUGCUUUAACUAGAAGAAAUGAAAAGUUAUAUUGUCCAAGAAAUUACAUGAUUGUUCCAGUUUGGGAAAAAUGUAUAUCAUUAAAGAUAUAUUUUCAAUGUUAAUAGUAAUCAAAAAGCAAAGAAUAAUGAUGAGGAUGAUGAUGUGGUUGUUACAUGAAUGACACUGAUAAUUAUAUUAAUGAUUAUGAUUUGUUUGUGACACAAUGCCAACUUUAUAAGGGUUGUUGUCAAUACUUUGGACAUCAUCAGUAUCUUGCUAGUAUAUAUUGGUUGUAAAUUUAGAAAGGCACCACAGAUUUAGUUAUACGAUCUGGUGAUACUUUAAAAAAGUGCAGGACACUGAUUUAGAUGUUUUUAAUGAUUGAAUGCAUUAUAUAUCUCACUCAAGAUCAAAUGCACUCAUUGAGGUCGAUAAAAGAAGAAAAUGUCAUUAGAAGUAACUCAAAUUACUAACAGAUUAUGCAGCAAAACUUGAUAAAUAUAAAAACUAUUCAGUUGUAUCAGAUUAUAAAAGAUUACGUGAAUGGAUAAGAAAUGUUAAUACAUCACUAAUGCAUAAUACCACAAUAAUACAUUAAUGGCUUUGGCAAAAAAGUGACCUACUGUUACAAAACAUUGCUCCCUAUCUCAGAAAUUUUUUGCCAUUUAUAUUUAGAUAGAUAAUGAAAAGUUAAAUUAAAUUAAUAUAGAUUCAUUACUUCUAGUGCAAGUUUAGAGACAACAGAAAUGAUUAUAUAAUGUUUAUGACUUUCUUAAGGACACAAGUACUAUAAAGAAACUAAACUAAUUCAAAGACAACCAGCAACUGAAAUCAGUUUACAAAUUCAACUUAUUUAAAGCACUUGCCAUUUCUCAGUGGUACCUCACCACUACUUUGCAGUUCUCAUCACAAUUUAAAUGAACCAUAAAAUACCAGGCUGGUUCUAUUGGUAACUUCAAACAAGUGUUGUACUCCUUUCUGACAUAAGACAAAAUCUGAGAUAAGUGUUGAUAAAAGCAAAAAUGAAUAGUGAUAAUAAUAUUAAUGAUGUUGCUGAAAAAUGGGAAAUGAGAAAUAAGAAAAACUAACUUUUAAAAAUUUAUUUUAAAUUGCUAAUUCAGGGACAAUGUAUUACAAUCUGCAAAAAAUAUGUAAAAUAUAAAAUAUUUCACGAGUAGAAAAUUUGUUGAAAAUUUCCAUUUUUGUUUUUAAUAUGUUAUCAGAAUGGAGAAAAGUGCCAACUCCAACCAAAUGUUUAUUUGGUGUAACAUAUGCAACAUGGUUAAAAAAUAAAAAAUGUUAAAAAAUGUAAUUGAAGAAAGAAGACAAAAACAAAACAUAGCCUUGCUGCAAAAAUAUUCUUAUUAAAUAUUUUUCAAUUUCUCUCCGGAAUCUUGAUUUUUGUCAUUGCAUGUUUUUUUUUUUGUUGAUCUUGUGUUUUUUUUCUCUGUUCACUUUUGCUCAUUUCUUGUUUGCUGUUAACUCUUAUUUUAAAAUUGAUCUUUUAUGUCACAAGUCAUUCACAUUCCUCUGUCAUUAAAAUACUGACAGUUUAUUUCACCUUUUCAUUUUCACCCAAAUAGUUUGUUUAUGAGCUUUUAAAAAAUGUCUUCCAAUUCAAAAUAAAGAGAAAGUAUAAAAAAAAGUUCUUACAAUAAACAAUGUAUCUCAUGUUAUUCUAUU
RNAcentral lists this long non-coding RNA (6422 nucleotides) under Octopus vulgaris (common octopus). Lineage: Eukaryota; Metazoa; Mollusca; Cephalopoda; Octopoda; Octopodidae. The record is from RNAcentral.